GAUGAACGCUGGCGGCGUGCCUAAUACAUGCAAGUCGAGCGAACAGACGAGGAGCUUGCUCCUCUGACGUUAGCGGCGGACGGGUGAGUAACACGUGGAUAACCUACCUAUAAGACUGGGAUAACUUCGGGAAACCGGAGCUAAUACCGGAUAACAUGUUGAACCGCAUGGUUCAACAGUGAAAGACGGUCUUGCUGUCACUUAUAGAUGGAUCCGCGCCGCAUUAGCUAGUUGGUAAGGUAACGGCUUACCAAGGCAACGAUGCAUAGCCGACCUGAGAGGGUGAUCGGCCACACUGGAACUGAGACACGGUCCAGACUCCUACGGGAGGCAGCAGUAGGGAAUCUUCCGCAAAGGGCGAAAGCCUGACGGAGCAACGCCGCGUGAGUGAAGAAGGUCUUCGGAUCGUAAAACUCUGUUAUUAGGGAAGAACAAAUGUGUAAGUAACUAUGCACGUCUUGACGGUACCUAAUCAGAAAGCCACGGCUAACUACGUG
Molecule: ribosomal RNA, 497 nt
Filed under: uncultured bacterium
Lineage: Bacteria
Description: partial 16S ribosomal RNA
Rfam family: Bacterial small subunit ribosomal RNA
Source: RNAcentral